Lentinula edodes (shiitake mushroom) is the source of this 105-nucleotide non-coding RNA. NCBI's taxonomy places the organism in Eukaryota, Fungi, Basidiomycota, Agaricomycetes, Agaricales, Omphalotaceae. The record is from the annotation of a RefSeq genome assembly.
GGCCGCCUGGCGAAAUGGCAUCGCGUCUGACUAUGAUGGCAUGAUAUUCCCGUUAAUGUUAAUUGAGUAAUCAGGAGAUUGCAGGUUCGACCCCUGCGGUGGUCA